This 2140-nucleotide ribosomal RNA is filed under the name human gut metagenome. Its description in RNAcentral is "bacterial LSU rRNA". It matches the Rfam family "Bacterial large subunit ribosomal RNA", at positions 1 to 2003 of the family's 2925-position model. The record is from RNAcentral.
GGUUGCUUGCAAGGGCGUGUGGUGGAUGCCUUGGCGGACAGGACCGAUGAAGGACGUAGCGGGCUGCGAUAAGCCUCGGGGAGCCGUCGAGCGGGCUUUGAUCCGAGGAUUUCCGAAUGGGGGAACCCGGCCACCGUCAUGGGUGGUCACCGGCUUUGGCCGGGGGGUACGCAGGGAAGUGAAACAUCUCAGUACCUGCAGGAAAGGAUAUUCCGUGAGUAGUGGCGAGCGAAAGCGGAUCAGGCCAAACCUUGCGCGUGUGAUACCCGUCGGGGGUUGCGCGCGGGGUGUAGAGGGAUCGCGUUUGCCGGCUCCGACGGGCCGGCCGUCAGUUGCAUAAAACCAUGUGCCAGGGGAACCGGGUUGAAUACCGGGCCGCAGAGGGUGAGGGCCCCGUACCCGAACGCGCAUGGUCUGGCGAUCGCGUCUCCCAAGUAGCACGGGCCCCGUGGAAUCCCGUGCGAAUCUGUCCCGACCGUGGGAUAAGCCUAAAUAUUCCUGUCUGACCGAUAGCGAACGAGUACCGUGAGGGAAAGGUGAAAAGUACCCCGGGAGGGGAGUGAAACAGUCUCUGAAACCAUGCGCCUACGAACCGUCGGGGCCCUCUUGUGGGGUGACGGCGUGCCUAUCGAAAAAUGAGUCUGCGAGUCAGUGGCAUGUGGCGAGCAUAACCCGUGUGGGGUAUGCGUAGCGAAGGCGAGUCUUAAAAGGCGUUUAAAGUCGCGUGUCCUGGACCCGAAGCGGGAUGAUCUAGCCCUGAGCAGGUUGAAGCGCGGGUAAGACCGUGUGGAGGACCGAACCCACCUGGGUUGAAAACCGGGGGGAUGACUUGGGGCUAGGGGUGAAAGGCCAAUCAAAUUCCGUGAUAGCUGGUUCUCUCCGAAAUGCAUUUAGGUGCAGCGUCGGAUCGAUUACAUCCGGGGGGUAGAGCGACUGGAUGCUUGCGGGCCCAUAUCGGGUACCAACAGCAACCAAACUCCGAAUACCCGUGAUGCGUAUCCCGGCAGUGAGUCGGCGGGGGAUAAGCUCCGUCGUCGAAAGGGAAACAGCCCAGAUCGUCGUCUAAGGUCCCCAAGCGUGUGCUAAGUGGGAAAGGAUGUGGAGUCGCAUAGACAGCCAGGAGGUUGGCUCAGAAGCAGCCACCCUUGAAAGAGUGCGUAACAGCUCACUGGUCUAGUGGUUCCGCGCCGACAAUGUAGCGGGGCUCAAGCACACCACCGAAGACGCGGCAGUAGCUUUGCUACUGGGUAGGAGAGCGUCCCAUGCGGGGCGAAGCGGCGGCGCAAGCCCGCCGUGGACCGCAUGGGAGUGAGAAUGCAGACAUGAGUAGCGAAAGACGGGUGAAGAUCCCGUCCGCUGGACGACCAAGGGUUCCAGGGCCACGUUCAUCGUCCCUGGGUGAGUCGGGUCCUAAGGCGAGGCCGACAGGCGUAGUCGAAUGGACGAACGGGUCGAUAUUCCCGUACCGGCAUGCAACCGGCAAAACCGAAUCCGCGAGUACUAACCUCCGGGUCCGGGCUCACGUCUCCUUCGGGAGCCGGAUGCCCUGGCCUGUUGGGACCGUAACGGUAGUAGGUCAGCGCGGGAGUGACGCAGAAGGGUAGCCGGCCGCGGAGGUGGUCUUCCGUGGUCAAGCACGCAGCCCGUCCCACAGGCAAAUCCGUGGGGCGCGUGGGCGAGGUGCGAUGAUGGGCGCCGCAGGGCGCGAUAUCCGGUGAUCCCGGCUGCCGAGAAAAGCUUCGGCGUGAGGCGGCAUGCCGCCCGUACCCCAAACCGACACUGGUGGUCAGGUAGAGAAUACCAAAGCGAUCGAGCGAAUCCUGGUCAAGGAACUCGGCAAAUCACUCCCGUUCCUUCGGUUUAAGGGAGACCCCCGAUGGUGAAGCGGCUUGCCCGCGGAGCUUUUGGGGGUGGCACAGACCAGGGGGUAGCGACUGUUUACCAAAAACACAGGAGCGUGCGAAGGCGCAAGCCGCUGUAUACGCUCUGACGCCUGCCCGGUGCCGGAAGGUUAAGAGGAUCCGUCAGGCCUCGGCCGAAGCGGUGAAUUCAAGCCCCGGUAAACGGCGGUGGUAACUAUAACCAUCCUAAGGUAGCGAAAUUCCUUGUCGGGUAAGUUCCGACCUGCACGAAUGGCGUA